This 635-nucleotide small RNA is filed under the name Pan troglodytes (chimpanzee). RNAcentral's name for it is "processed transcript". The record is from RNAcentral. Lineage: Eukaryota; Metazoa; Chordata; Mammalia; Primates; Hominidae.
CUGGAGACGGUUGGGAGAACCGUUGUGGCGAGCGCUACACGAGGCAAACGACUUCUCCCUUCUCUGAACUGGACCCCGCGAGCACCAGAGUCGGCGUAACUAUCGCCUGACAGGCAUUUAAAUCAAACGGUAUUGAGAUGGAUUGGGUUAUGAAACAUAAUGGUCCAAAUGACGCUAGUGAUGGGACAGUACGACUUCGUGGACUACCAUUUGGUUGCAGCAAAGAGGAAAUAGUUCAGUUCUUUCAAGGGUUGGAAAUCGUGCCAAAUGGGAUAACAUUGACGAUGGACUACCAGGGGAGAAGCACAGGGGAGGCCUUCGUGCAGUUUGCUUCAAAGGAGAUAGCAGAAAAUGCUCUGGGGAAACACAAGGAAAGAAUAGGGCACAGGUAUAUUGAGAUCUUCAGAAGUAGCAGGAGUGAAAUCAAAGGAUUUUAUGAUCCACCAAGAAGAUUGCUGGGACAGCGACCGGGACCAUAUGAUAGACCAAUAGGAGGAAGAGGGGGUUAUUAUGGAGCUGGGCGUGGAAGUAUGUAUGACAGAAUGCGACGAGGAGGUGAUGGAUAUGAUGGUGGUUAUGGAGGUUUUGAUGACUAUGGUGGCUAUAAUAAUUACGGCUAUGGGAAUGAUGGCUUU